Molecule: ribosomal RNA, 539 nt
Filed under: uncultured bacterium
Lineage: Bacteria
Description: bacterial SSU rRNA
Rfam family: Bacterial small subunit ribosomal RNA
Source: RNAcentral
AGUAAUGCCUUGGGAAAUUGCCCAGUCGAGGGGGAUAACAGUUGGAAACGACUGCUAAUACCGCAUACGCCCUACGGGGGAAAGCAGGGGACCUUCGGGCCUCGCGCGAUUGGAUAUGCCCAGGUGGGAUUAGCUAGUUGGUGAGGUAAUGGCUCACCAAGGCGACGAUCCCUAGCUGGUCUGAGAGGAUGAUCAGCCACACUGGAACUGAGACACGGUCCAGACUCCUACGGGAGGCAGCAGUGGGGAAUAUUGCACAAUGGGGGAAACCCUGAUGCAGCCAUGCCGCGUGUGUGAAGAAGGCCUUCGGGUUGUAAAGCACUUUCAGCGAGGAGGAAAGGUUGAUGCCUAAUACGUAUCAACUGUGACGUUACUCGCAGAAGAAGCACCGGCUAACUCCGUGCCAGCAGCCGCGGUAAUACGGAGGGUGCAAGCGUUUAUCGGAAUUACUGGGCGUAAAGCGCACCGCAGGCGGUUGGAUAAAUUAGAUGUGAAAGCCCCGGGCUCAACCUGGGAAUUGCAUUUAAAACUGUCCAGCU